Non-coding RNA from Cherax quadricarinatus, 4253 nucleotides. NCBI's taxonomy places the organism in Eukaryota, Metazoa, Arthropoda, Malacostraca, Decapoda, Parastacidae. The record is from RefSeq and is a predicted model, not a curated record.
AGAAGAUCGUGGAAGAAGGGUGGCUGCUACUGCGAAAAGUUUGUCUUCGCUGCCUCAGAAAGACAGUAAGAAAUUCGGUACUACUUAGUGCACCUAACGCAAGCUUGUAUACAUGAAUCUCAUUGUAUCAGCUUUAAUCCAAACAUCCAUUAACCACUUCUCAACACCGUGCUUCUUGUUGACCAUCAAUGCCAGUGAGCAAAAAUAUCUGCUAUGGAUUCCUUAAGGGACAAAAAUGCUUAACAGAAUGAACUUUGGGCCGCAGCGCGAUAUGUAAGACGACUUUUUAUUGUAAGUAUUGCUCACCAUUUAAUUACAUUUUGCGAUACUGAAAGCAAAGGUAGAAUAUAUGGGAGCAAUUAAAUAUGCUGUUUAUAUUAGGCUGUUACUCGAGGCUUGUCUGUUGUGGCAAUCCUUAAGAAAAUUCUUGAAAAGUUGUUGUAAGUUUCAUUGCCUGUAACAGAAUGGCAUUAGAGUUAAGGAAUUGAUGUGUAAAAUAUAUAACAAACCAUGGAGUUGUUGAUUAUAGUUCACUUGUAGAAUGUUUGGGCAAGUUCUGUAUGGAGGGCGUUGGUGUUUCAAAGCAGUAGAGUGAGAACUGAAAGGAAAGUUAUGUAUUAGGUGAUAUACGACAGUGAAAUUUAAAACGAAUAUUGUAGAUGGGAAGGUUUAAGUAGUAUGGACGUAAAGAAAUUAAAGGAUGGUAAUAAAAAUGUUAGGUGAUCAUUAGUAGAAAGGCUGUCAGGUAUAUAGAUUGAAGGCAUUAGGUGAUGCGUUGAGGCAUCUAUGGCGACAGAGCACGUUAUGCAUGGAGGCAAAAGAGAAGUUUUAAGAGGAUAGUGGUACCAACAUUUAUAUAGGUGUACAACAUAGGUUGUGAAUUUUGCAACAAGGAAGUGGCUGGAGGCCGAGUAGAUAUCUGAGGGUAGUGUGUCCUGUAAAUAUGCAGAGUAUGGAGGAAGUAAAUGUUUUCAGAUAGUUUGAAGUGGAUAUAUCGGCAGAUAUGUCUAUGAAGACUAGGUGAACCAUAGAAUUGAUGAAGGGAAAAAAAGAUAGGUGGUGUGUUCCGGCAUCUGUGGAGACAGCACGUUAUACAUGGAGGCAAAAAGGGGAAUGUUUAGUUAAUAGUUGUACCAACUCACUAAUAUGGGGGCAAAGUAUAGGCUGUGAAAUUUGCAGCUCGGAAGAGACUUGAGAUAUUAUGGAGGAAGUGUCUGUGUUCCUAUUUGGGAAUGGACUUGUCAGCAGAUGGGUCUGAAGGCCGAGGUGAACCAUAGAAUUCAUGAGGGGGAAAAGGUGCGUAGUGCAUUGAGGCAUCUGUGGAGACCACGUUAUGCAUAGAGGCAAAAGAGAAGCUUUAGAGAAUAGUGGUACCAUCAUUUAUAUAGGUGUGAAGCAUAGAAUGUGAAUUUUGCAUCGAGGAAGAUGGUUGUGGCCGUGGAAAUACCUGAGAGCAGUGUGUCUUCUAAAUAUUUCGAGUAUGGAGGAAGUAAAUGUUUUCAGAUAUUUAGGAGUAGACAUAUCGACGGAUGUCUACAAAAAAUGAGGUGAACCAUAGAAUUGAUGAAGAGAGAAGAGGUGGGUGAAGCAAUCUGGCAUCUGUGGAGACAGGCAAAAAGGGGAAUGUUUAGUUAAUAGUUCUACCAACACUUAUAUGGAUGCGAAGCAUAGGCUGUGAAUUUUGCGGUGAGGAUGAGGCUGGAGACAAGUUAUGAUCUGAGGACAAUGUGUCCCGUUAAUAUGCAGAAUAUGGAAGAAGUGAAUGCUUUCUGACAUUUGGGAGUGGACUUGUCAGCGGAUUGGUCGAUUAAAGACGAAGUGAAGCACAAUUGAUAAGGGGUGGGGUGGGGGGUAGAAUGGAUGAUGCGUUCCGCCAUUUGUGGCGACAAAGAGGCUGAAGGUAGUGGAGAUAUCCUAGCUGAGGGCAGUGAGUCAUGUCAAUAUGCCGAGUAUGGAGGAAGUGAAUGUGUUCUCAUUUGGGAAUGGACUUAUCGGCGUAUAGAUCUAUGAAGACUAGAUGAACCAUAGAAUUGAUGAAGGGGAAAAAGGUAGGUGGUGUGUUUUGGCAUCUGUGGAGACAAGUUAUACAUGGAGGCAAAAAGGGAAAUGUUUGGUUAAUAAUUAUUACAACACUUAUAUGGUUGCGAAGCUUAGGCUGUAAAUUUUGCAGCUGAGAAGAGGCUGGAGACAGUGGGAAUAUUAUCAGAAGGCAAUAUUCCCUUUUAAUAUGCAGAGUAUGGAGAAGUGAGUGCUUUGUGAUAUUUGGGAGUGGAGUUAACGAGGUGAACCGUGGAAUUGAUGAGAAAAAAAAAGGUGGGUGCUACAUUCCAACAAGUGUGGCGACAAAGAACGUUAAUCAUAGUGCCAAAAAGGUUAAUAUUUGAGAGAAUAAUGGUACCCAACACCUUUAUAUGAAUAUGAAGCAUGGUUGUGUAUUUUACAGCACGGAAGAGGCUGGAGUCAGUGGAGAUAUAUCUGAGGGCACUGUGUCGUGUAAAUAUGCAGAAAAUUUGUAGUGUGGAGAAUAGGAGAAAGUGAGGGGUUACUAAAAGUAUUAUCGAGAGACUUGAGGUAGUUGGAGAUUUAAAGCGAAAAUAGGAUGGCUCGGAGGGUGUAUAAAUCUAGUGGAUAGGUUCGAGGGAGGGGUAAAGGAGGUUUUAAAGCGAUUGGCUUGGAUAUUCAGCAGGGGUGUGCGAGCGUGGUAGAUACUGAGUGGAGUCAAUUAGUUUUUAUAACUACGUGCUGUUGGAGUGUGGGCAAGGUAACAUGAAGGGAUGUAGAGAAACUGUCUAGCCGGACUUGAGUUCUGGAGGUGGGAAGCAGAGUGCCUGCACUCUGAUGGAGAGAUGGGGAUGUUUGUACUUUGGAAAGAUAUCUGAACUAUAGUAUCGGUGCGCCUCUGACAAGACAGUGAUUAGAGUGAUGGCGGAAGUGUUUCCUCUUUCGUGACACCCUAACGACGGAAGACGGCCGUUGUUUUUAAAAAAAGUUACAUUCCUAGGAGCGCUGAACCCAUAGGAGUCGUACAGCAAUUGGAGGAAUGGGAAGCAGUCUAAGUUGACUUAAAGGAAAGGUUCAAGUUGGAAAAAAAUAGAGAAAGGAUAUGGAAAGCACUGGUUUGGUGAUAGUUGUGGAUGAGAUGAACAAACUACCUAGUAGCGUUAUUGAAACUACAACCUUGUGUAGCUUUGAAAAAAAGAUCAGAUAAUUACAUGUGUAGAUUUCCGUUGGACUUGUCUAACUUGGGUCAGUAGGCCUGCAGCAGUGCUGUCUUAUGUUCUCAUAAAGUACUUCUCUUGAGUAUAUGGUCUUCAUCGUGGGAAUUAACUCAUUCCCAAGUGAUACCGCAAUAAAAUGGCUGUUUUUCCCCCAACGAGCGAGUUGGACUCUGUUCACACUUGCAUUUAGUAAAAGACUGUACAAGUUUUGUUAGAAGAAUUUGUGUGCACCACAGUCCUACUCAAGGAAAACGACUUUUUUCUUUCAACUUGAGAGUUGAUUAACUCUUUCUUGAAAAUGGUGCUACUCCACUUCACAUUUUCACUUAGUAAAGGCUAAUGUAUAGGUUUUGUCAACGGAGUAAUAGAUGCGACAGUUCUACUCGAGGAAAAUAACUGGUUUCAUACAAUAUGGAAGUUGGACUCUGUCUAGGGUUCUGCUCAGUCUUCGAAAAUAGUAGUAGUUCCUUUAAAGAACGGCAUUUAGUGGAGUACACUUAAUAUUAACCCAAGUUAUUAAAAUAUUUUUAUGGAAGUACUAAACCCAUAGGAAUUAUACAGCGCUUAAGGAAACGGGAGCAAUCAGGUUUGAUCCAAAGAGGUGAAGAUAGGUUUAAUUAAGAGCCGCUCAUCAGCACCUAGGAACCUCUCGAAGGUUCAGUCAUUAAAAUGGCUUUAAAAAUACAUAUAAAACUAAAGCAAAUUACUUGCUUCAUAUUUCCACUUGUUGGAUCAUAACAGUUUCAGGCAGUGGACUCUUGUUCACAUAGCCAUAUAGUGAACAAACUCAGUGGAUUAUGUCCACUUGACAACUCUUUUCUUCUCUCUUCUCUCAUCAUCAGCUUGCUUUUGAUAAUUGGUUUUUAUUGGCAGCCUAGCUUCCAUUAAAAACACUGAAUCAGAGGAACUUGCUGUUGAUGAAUCAUUUUUAGUGGUAGCUUGCUGCCACUAAAAAUAACAUUUUUAGUGGUAGCUUGCUACCACUAAAAAUACCCACCCAUUUUUAGUGGCAGCUUGCUGUCACUAAAAAUGUAA